This 497-nucleotide ribosomal RNA is filed under the name uncultured bacterium. RNAcentral's name for it is "partial 16S ribosomal RNA". It matches the Rfam family "Bacterial small subunit ribosomal RNA", at positions 28 to 507 of the family's 1533-position model. The record is from RNAcentral.
GAUGAACGCUGGCGGCGUGCCUAAUACAUGCAAGUCGAGCGAACAGACGAGGAGCUUGCUCCUCUGACGUUAGCGGCGGACGGGUGAGUAACACGUGGAUAACCUACCUAUAAGACUGGGAUAACUUCGGGAAACCGGAGCUAAUACCGGAUAAUAUAUUGAACCGCAUGGUUCAAUAGUGAAAGACGGUUUUGCUGUCACUUAUAGAUGGAUCCGCGCCGCAUUAGCUAGUUGGUAAGGUAACGGCUUACCAAGGCGACGAUGCGUAGCCGACCUGAGAGGGUGAUCGGCCACCCUGGAACUGAGACACGGUCCAGACUCCUACGGGAGGAAGCAGUAGGGAAUCUUCCGCAAUGGGCGAAAGCCUGACGGAGCAACGCCGCGUGAGUGAUGAAGGUCUUCGGAUCGUAAAACUCUGUUAUUAGGGAAGAACAAAUGUGUAAGUAACUAUGCACGUCUUGACGGUACCUAAUCAGAAAGCCACGGCUAACUACGUG